Non-coding RNA from Pangasius djambal, 72 nucleotides. NCBI's taxonomy places the organism in Eukaryota, Metazoa, Chordata, Actinopteri, Siluriformes, Pangasiidae. The record is from the annotation of a GenBank genome assembly.
UCCGUGAAGAGCUAGUGGUUAGGCCCCAGCGCUCUCACCACUGCGGCCCGGGUUCGAUUCCCAGCCAGGGAA